RNAcentral lists this long non-coding RNA (916 nucleotides) under Equus asinus (donkey). RNAcentral describes it as "lncRNA (ENSEASG00005030875.1)". The record is from RNAcentral. Lineage: Eukaryota; Metazoa; Chordata; Mammalia; Perissodactyla; Equidae.
GUUCAAACAAGUCAAUAAAACUAAACUUCGGAGCCAAGCAGUCACGGUGGGAAAAUGACCACUUAAAGAUUGCCAAGAGAAAAGACAAGCACGUUGAACUUCAAAUGGUGAUGGAGAGACCAGGCAUGGGGCAAGGCCUAGGAGAGUGGUUACCCAUGGGGUUUUCAAGUUAACAGUCUUGGAUCAAAAGUCUAGGCGAAAAAGAACCUUCCGCUAUCUCUUACCGUGAAGCUCAUUACUGGACCUUUUACAAUCUGUGGAAUCCAAAUGAAGCAAGCACCACCAGGUCUCAGAAGGGAGUGCAGAUCUUCCUAAUAAGGCUCCUAAGGACAAUGGCCCUUUGUCCUUACACCUGUUGAAGGGGGAAGGUGCCCUUGACAGAGACCUGGUAGGGUUUAUGCGAGGCCGUGCAGUUCAGAUUUCUUACCUGCGUCUCUGACGAUACAUCCCGUUUCAUAAUAUGCCUUCUAGCAACGGAACUUGGAGACGGAGCCCUCAGUGUUCAAAGGGAAAGGAGCACAUCCAAGCUUUACUUGAGAAGAAUGAUAGAAUAUAGAAAUCCAUGCUUUUGUGGUUAGUGCUGUCAAGUUGGUUCCGACUCCUAGAGACCCUGUGUACGGAAAUCCAUGUAGAAGAGCAAUAUUACAAAGUUGUGGCAUGUUCCAGCUCUCGACAACAUGCCAGCCACAAGUUCCAUGAGGGUCCUGCUCUUCCCUGGUCCUCAGCUUCUAGCUCAGCACGAGGCACAGAGUUAAAUCUCAACAGAGGCGAGACUUGCUGGAUGAACACACCUCCAGGACUUUGCUAAAGAAAAGAAAAUGGCAAAAUGAUUCAUUAAGAUUGACAGCUGAUUUUUCCAGCUAUGUCACUAAAAUCUCCCAAUAAACAUUGGUCUGUGGGCACCUGUGUGUUGACG